GGGAAAGUCCGUAGCCUACUUAUUCUUUGCAUUCAAUUGAAGAGCAUUGAAGAGAAUUUCGCCCGGGAAUGUGAUAACACCUGUGUUUGGAGUUAAUGUUUUAAAAUAAUCUUCUCUUGAAUUUGGGUAAAGUAGUCAAUUGGAAAGCGAUAGAACUGAGCAAGCGGGGUGCAGGGAGAGAGAAAGCCCACAUUGCUGUACCGGGAGAAAUAACGAAUGUUUUGAGUACACGAAGCGUAAAACUGUGUGCUACUGCGAUUCGUACUGUCAGAAAACAGGGGACUGCUGCGAGGACUAUCGGCAUGUUUGUCAAAUAUCUGGUGAGUGGUUGCUUUUUUUCAUAAUCCCGUUUCGUCAGUCAUUCUCAUAAAUAUUGUUAUAAGCAUGUUCAAAAGUUUCCGUCAUUAAAAGGCUACAUGUUUUCAGUCAGUAUGCUUAUCAGCUAACUUAAAAAACGCUCUGCUUUUAUAGAUAUGGUGAAUAAUUUAAAAAGGUAGUGUAAGAUAUUAAUGGCAUUGGCCUAAGUCUGGAAGCGAGAUGUCUACUGGUUUUACCUAGGUAUUAGAAUACCCCUUACGAAAAAAAAGGUGUCAGUACACUUCUCCCAACAAUUUUUUUACUGCAGUAAUUUUACUGUAAUUGCAAUUACUGUAUGUAAAACACUAAUGUCUACGUAAGUUACUACACAAGGCAAGGUUUUUAAGGCUAAUUGUGCUUGCCGCUAUGUGAAACAGUUCUAACAUCAGAAAUCUA
Molecule: long non-coding RNA, 753 nt
Organism: Esox lucius (northern pike)
Lineage: Eukaryota; Metazoa; Chordata; Actinopteri; Esociformes; Esocidae
Source: Ensembl